This 488-nucleotide ribosomal RNA is filed under the name uncultured bacterium. RNAcentral's name for it is "partial 16S ribosomal RNA". It matches the Rfam family "Bacterial small subunit ribosomal RNA", at positions 28 to 506 of the family's 1533-position model. The record is from RNAcentral.
GACGAACGCUGGCGGCGUGCUUAACACAUGCAAGUCGAACGGAAAGGCCCCCACCUUGGUGGGGGUGCUCGAGUGGCGAACGGGUGAGUAACACGUGGGUGAUCUGCCCUGUACUUCGGGAUAAGCUUGGGAAACUGGGUCUAAUACCGGAUAGGACCAUGGUUUAGUGUCUCAUGGUGGAAAAAUUAUUGUUUUGGUGCAGGAUGAGCUCGCGGCCUAUCAGCUUGUUGGUGGGGUAAUGGCCUACCAAGGCGUCGACGGGUAGCCGGCCUGAGAGGGUGGACGGCCACAUUGGGACUGAGAUACGGCCCAGACUCCUACGGGAGGCAGCAGUGGGGAAUAUUGCACAAUGGGCGCAAGCCUGAUGCAGCGACGCCGCGUGGGGGAUGACGGCCUUCGGGGUGUAAACUCCUUUCGUUAGGGACGAAGCCACACCUUUUUUGGGUGUGGUGACGGUACCUUUGUUAAGAAGCACCGGCUAACUACGU